GCAUUUUGGGGGCUGUUUUGGCUUUUGGUUGCUUGCUUGGCCUUUUGGUCGGGUGGGUCGCUACUAGUUGGGCGGCUUUCGGGAAUGUCGACCGUAAAGGUGCAUGAGUGGUGUUUGGUUUGUUACGUGUGGUUGGCUGUUUGCUUGCGCAACAACGUCCACGCGGCAUACCUCUUCAGUUUUGUGGCAAGACUCGGUUUGUCUUGAGCAUAUUGUGGGUUUCCUGUGUUGCAUACCUAAUCGAUGGUAUCAUGUUGGUUUCACGUUGUUCCUUUUCGUCAUGCGUUGCUCUUGCGGCGUGGGAUGAACAUCGAAGUGGUCUUUGUGAUCCACCUUGUCCUWGAAAUUGCAAGGAUGAUGUGGCCAAUGAAGCAUCGUUUGGUCUCUUGUAUACAGAACCGAAUGUGGGCAUGGGUCUUAUAAGAUCUUGAAUUUGCCCUUGUUAAGCGUUCUCGCUUCUUCAAAACGAUUGCUUGUCAUGUCUUGGCUUGUCCUUGCAUGGUGGGCGACGUCGA
RNAcentral lists this unclassified non-coding RNA (515 nucleotides) under Zoegea leptaurea. RNAcentral's name for it is "partial external transcribed spacer". Lineage: Eukaryota; Viridiplantae; Streptophyta; Magnoliopsida; Asterales; Asteraceae. The record is from RNAcentral.